RNAcentral lists this ribosomal RNA (500 nucleotides) under uncultured bacterium. RNAcentral's name for it is "partial 16S ribosomal RNA". It matches the Rfam family "Bacterial small subunit ribosomal RNA", at positions 30 to 523 of the family's 1533-position model. The record is from RNAcentral.
AUUGAACGCUGGCGGCAGGCCUAACACAUGCAAGUCGAGCGGUUGACGGGAGCUUGCUCCCUGAUUCAGCGGCGGACGGGUGAGUAAUGCCUAGGAAUCUGCCUAUUAGUGGGGGACAACGUUUCGAAAGGAACGCUAAUACCGCAUACGUCCUACGGGAGAAAGCAGGGGACCUUCGGGCCUUGCGCUAACAGAUGAGCCUAGGUCGGAUUAGCUUGUUGGUGAGGUAAUGGCUCACCAAGGUGACGAUCCGUAACUGGUCUGAGAGGACGAUCAGUCACACUGGAACUGAGACACGGUCCAGACUCCUACGGGAGGCAGCAGUGGGGAAUAUUGGACAAUGGGCGAAAGCCUGAUCCAGCCAUGCCGCGUGUGUGAAGAAGGUCUUCGGAUUGUAAAGCACUUUAAGUUGGGAGGAAGGGUUGUAGAUUAAUACUCUGCAAUUUUGACGUUACCGACAGAAUAAGCACCGGCUAACUCUGUGCCAGCCGCCGCAGUAA